UACGUAGGGGGCAAGCGUUGUUCGGAAUUACUGGGCGUAAAGCGCGCGUAGGCGGUUUGAAAAGUCAGAUGUGAAAGCCCCGGGCUCAACUUGGGAACUGCAUUUGAUACUGUCAGACUAGAGUACAGAAGAGGUGACUGGAAUUCCCAGUGUAGCGGUGAAAUGCGUAGAUAUUGGGAGGAACACCAGAUGCGAAGGCGGGUCACUGGGCUGAUACUGACGCUGAAGUGCGAAAGCCAGGGGAGCGAACAGG
Molecule: ribosomal RNA, 253 nt
Filed under: uncultured bacterium
Lineage: Bacteria
Description: partial 16S ribosomal RNA
Rfam family: Bacterial small subunit ribosomal RNA
Source: RNAcentral